Molecule: ribosomal RNA, 253 nt
Filed under: uncultured bacterium
Lineage: Bacteria
Description: partial 16S ribosomal RNA
Rfam family: Bacterial small subunit ribosomal RNA
Source: RNAcentral
UACGGGGGGAGCAAGCGUUGUUCGGAUUCAUUGGGCGUAAAGGGUGCGUAGGCGGCGCGGUGAGUCGGGUGUGAAAUCUCGGAGCUUAACUCCGAAACUGCAUUCGAUACUGCCGUGCUUGAGGACUGGAGAGGAGACUGGAAUUUACGGUGUAGCGGUGAAAUGCGUAGAUAUCGUAAGGAAGACCAGUGGCGAAGGCGGGUCUCUGGACAGUUCCUGACGCUGAGGCACGAAGGUCAGGGGAGCAAACGGG